GAUGAAGAAGGCAGCGAAAUGCGAUACUUUGUGUGAAUUGCAGAAUCCCGUGAACCAUCGAGUCUUUGAACGCAAGUUGCGCCCGAAGCCAUCAGGUUGAGGGCACGUCUGCCUCGGCGUCACAUAUCGUUGCCCAAUGCCUAUUGCAGUGCAAUAGGAAUUUCUAGGGCGAAUGAUGGCUUCCCGUGAGCGUUGUUGCCUCGCGGUUGGUUGAAAAUCGAGUCCUUGGUAGGGUGUGCCAUGGUAGAUGGUGGUCGAGUUAGAACGAUACCGAUCAUGUGCAUGCUCCCCAAAAUAUGGCCUCUAUGACCCACACGCGUCUUUUGACGCUCAUGACGAGACCUCAGGUCAGGCGGGGCUACCCGCUGAAUUUAAGCAUAUCAAUAAGCGGAGGA
This 395-nucleotide unclassified non-coding RNA is filed under the name soil metagenome. Its description in RNAcentral is "partial contains 5.8S ribosomal RNA, internal transcribed spacer 2, and large subunit ribosomal RNA". The stretch from base 1 to 122 matches the Rfam family "5.8S ribosomal RNA", at positions 35 to 154 of the family's 154-position model. The record is from RNAcentral.